AAGCAUCUUCCCCAUUCUGGAUGCUGAAGACCGAGGGCGAGGUGCCUGUAGGGCUGGCUCCUCUGAGGCCUCACCUUGCCAUCUUCUCUCUGUGUCCUCCCAUGGCUGUCCUCUAUGUAUCUAUGUCCUGACGUCCUUUUCUCACAAGUACACCAGGAGGAUUGGAUCAGGGCCACCUUAGUGACUUCACAGCCUGUGUCACCAAUUUAAAGACCUCAUCUCCAAACAGUCACACUCUGAGGGACUGGGCAGUCAGGGCUUCAACAUAUGAAUUUGGGGGACACAGUUCAGCCCAUGACACAGGGGCUGGUCUUUUUUCAUGCAGGGGUGUAGAUGUGAUGCACAGUCACUGGGUGCUCUGUGGGACCGGUUAGCCACAGCCUCCCCAGAGGGGACAUGGUAGGAGCCCAGUGUGACUGACACUGGCCAAGGAGGGGUGAGAGGUGUCACAUGGAGAUAACAUCUACUUCUUUGCCUCAUCACACCAUGGGCUGUAGGGGGACUUAUUUUGUGUCCCAUCAAGAAUGAAGAGGACACAGUAUGUACAUUCUGUCUGAAUUUCAAAGGUGCAGAAACACCAGAGGGAAGGAUGUGACUGGGUAGGAGUGUCCCUUAGAAAUCAAGGGAGUCAAGUGCUAAGACAGAGCCCUCCUGAUGGCGGGGACAUGACUGCAUACCCAGGGGGUCUCAGCUGGACACCCACCCCCUGUCCACCACCAGCAGAGACUGGAUUCUACAGGCUGUUAGGGGCCCUGAGCCAAGGACUCAGGCCCAAGAGCCUUUGACCUUGGGAGAUUCCACACUGUUUACCACUACUGGCCAGAUCCCUUCCACCCCAGAAGCCCAGAUGGCCAGAGGCUGUUUGCUUGCUGCUAAUCGCAGAGGCAGUCAGUUGAGCCCAACCAGCCUCUCCAGAGCCCCCUGAACCCAGGUGUGGGGGUUCUGGGAAUGAAUUGCACAGCAUGGCUAUUUCUCUGCAUGAGCUUGAGAAGCUCUAUACACCUGGGUCCAGACCCACACUUUCAAGCCUGGACUGGGGCCCAAGUUGCAUUUUGCCUAGUGCCACACAGACUAGGAGGAAGUGCUCCUCUGGAUGGCUACAGGUUCUCUCCUCCCUGCCUUCAGGUCCCCUUCUAUUGUCACCAUGCCUAGCCAGGACUCCUUGGCCCUGGGCACUGUCACCUCACCAAGUGCCCCAUGGAUCCAGAAGCCAAGGUGCCCUGUGGGUCAGACCCUGCCCUAGGCCAUGCAGCAGGUAAGAGAUGGAACCCAGG
RNAcentral lists this long non-coding RNA (1274 nucleotides) under Marmota monax (woodchuck). Lineage: Eukaryota; Metazoa; Chordata; Mammalia; Rodentia; Sciuridae. The record is from RNAcentral.